UGGGGAAUUUUGGACAAUGGGGGCAACCCUGAUCCAGCCAUCCCGCGUGUGCGAUGAAGGCCUUCGGGUUGUAAAGCACUUUUGGCAGGGAAGAAACAGCCUGGGCUAAUAUCCCGGGCGACUGACGGUACCUGCAGAAUAAGCACCGGCUAACUACGUGCCAGCAGCCGCGGUAAUACGUAGGGUGCAAGCGUUAAUCGGAAUUACUGGGCGUAAAGCGUGCGCAGGCGGUUCGGAAAGAAAGGUGUGAAAUCCCAGGGCUUAACCUUGGAACUGCACUUUUAACUACCGGGCUAGAGUACGUCAGAGGGGGGUAGAAUUCCACGUGUAGCAGUGAAAUGCGUAGAGAUGUGGAGGAAUACCCAUGGCGAAGGCAGCCCCCUGGGAUGAUACUGACGCUCAUGCACGAAAGCGUGGGGAGCAAACA
Molecule: ribosomal RNA, 427 nt
Filed under: uncultured bacterium
Lineage: Bacteria
Description: bacterial SSU rRNA
Rfam family: Bacterial small subunit ribosomal RNA
Source: RNAcentral